CCCUUUCUUCUUCUCUCUCACUCUUCUUUCGCGUUUUCCCCUUCUCCUCCUCCUCCUCCUCUCACUUUCAUUCCCCUCAUCCGAUUACGCCUCUCCGUUCCUCCCGCCGCAACUAUACUCGCCACCACGCCUCUCUCUCCGACCACUACCUCUCAUGCUCCGUCCCCGAGAAGCCCCUUCGUGUAGCCGUCCUCCUCAGCGGCGGCGUCGAUAGCAGCGUUGCCCUCCGCCUCCUCCACGCCGCUGGACACUCCUGUACCGCUUUCUACCUCAAAAUCUGGUUCCAGGUCUGUGUCUGCUUCUUCAUCUCAUGUCUCUGUCUAGAAACAUGGGUUUGUGAUGUUUCUAAUGUUCUGUAGGAAGGCUUUGAGAAUUUCUGGAACCAGUGCCCCUGGGAAGACGACUUGAAAUACGCAAAGCAUGUCUGUGAGCAGGUACUGUUCCUGGUCAAACCCUGUGACUAUGUUCUUGAUUUUUAGAUUAUGUUUUAUUAGAAAAGGUUCAUACUUUAUAUACUUCACUGGAAGAUAUGUUCACUGCUUAUUCGAAAAGGUUCAUACUUUAUAUACUUCACUGGAAGAUAUGUUUACUGCUUAUUCAAAAAGGUUCAUACUUUAUAUACUUAGAGCAAUUGAAAGGAUGAUGUUUACUGCUUGUUCAAAAAGAUUCAUACUUUAUAUACUUAAGAGCAAUGAAAGGAGUGCUUCUUGUGGUGUCAUUUUUACAGGUUGGUGUACCUUUAGAGGUUGUGCAUUUAACAGAUGAAUACUGGGUAAGAGUUGUAAGUUCUUUUUUGUUUCAUUGCUUCUUCUUUUUUUUAGAGUUGCCUAAUGGUUUAGGUUUUCUGAUUGGAUUUUUUUCGGUGACAUGUCAGGUUUCUUACAUUAUUGAGGAGUACAAAUGUGGGCGUACACCUAACCCGGAUGUUCUGUGUAAUACUAGAAUCAAGUUUGGUAAGCUCAUGAAAAGACUUGUGCUUUUAGUUGAAGUGUGUGUGCCACUUUGACUAAUCAGCUAUAUCUUAAUAGGGGCAUUCAUGGAUGCAAUCAGUGAUAUGGAGUAUGAUUACGUAGCUUCAGGUCAUUAUGCCAAAGUUGCCCAUCCUGCUGCUGGUGGUCCAUCUGUUUUGGAACUCUCACAAGACAUGGUACUUCAAUUAACACUCAUCACUUAAUCUGCCUUUAGUUUUCUGAUCAGCAUGUUUUAGAGAUAAUGUUACUUACUUGUUGGGUGUAAUAUUUGCAUUUGUAUGCUACUAAUGCUUCUUAGGUACAUUGCUUUGGUGUUUAUAGGUGAAAGAUCAGACGUACUUCCUCUCACAUCUCUCUCAAACCCAGCUUAAGCGACUCCUGUUCCCACUUGGUUGCGUAAAGAAGGUAUUCAAACCUCUCAGCCAUUUUGAAAACGUAUUAAAAAAAAAACAAUUUGUUUUAUUAGUGGUUAUCUUUAUGCUUGCCUGCCUUUGUUAUCUGAUGUAUAGGAAGAAGUUCGCAAACUAGCCACACAAUUUGAUUUGCCAAAUAAAGACAGAAAAGAUUCACAAGGAAUAUGUUUCCUUGGGAAGGUAAUUGUUCUUCUUCUGGUUCACAACAGCUUUACCUAGUACAAGCCUGAAACAUAUGAAAAUAUGGCGUUCUGUAAUAGAUAAAGUUCAGCGACUUUGUCGGAACACACAUAGGAGAGAAGGAAGGGAUCAUACUGGAAGCUGAAACUGGUGACUUCCUCGGUAACCAUAAGGGAUUUUGGUUUUACACUAUUGGACAGCGUCAAGGCCUGCGUUUACCCGGUGGACCAUGGUAUGUUGUUGAAAAGGACACCAAGAACAAUGUAGUGUUUGUCUCGAGAGAUUAUUACUCAAUCGACAAGAGAAGGAGGGUUUUCCGUGCUGGAUCCUUAAGGUGGCUUAGUGGGAAACCGUUAGUCAAUAUUAGCCAGCUUCGUUGCAAGGUAAAAAAGAAUAUGAUCGGUUACUUUUUCUACACAUGAUGGCUACAUGAUACUGAUAAGUUGAGUUUAUAGGUAAGGCAUGGACCUGGCUUCUAUAGCUGCAGCUUUGAAAUGGAAGCAGAAGGAGAUGUUGCGGUUGUUCACUUAGAUGAAGACGACCAAGGUCUAGCUGCUGGACAGUUUGCAGCUUUCUAUGAAGGAACCAUUUGUAUCGGGUCAGGUGUUAUCUUGGAGUCAUGGGACGAUCAGUGUUUCCCUGUUUGUGCCAAAGCUCUUCAACUCGCAGCUGUGGAAGACAAAACCAAACUUGGGAAACCUGUUAAAAUCAUGACGAUGCCAGUUACCACAUCUGUUGAGGCUGAGCCAGGAGAGUCAAGUGGAGAAGAAAGGCUUGUCAAUGCAUGAAACAGAGGAGAUUGUGUAGUAUUCUGAAGAAGCGACUUGAAGAGUUGAAAAAUCGAGAAGCAGAUGUUGCUAGAGGAUAAGAUGACUAAUUUUAUUUAGGAAAAACACUUGUCAGUUGUAAACAUUUGAUAGUUUGUUUUAUCUUCUUAUAUAUGGUGGCUUCAAGCUACGUCAUUGGCUCUCAGUGGUGGCCUCAUGGGAGAUCAUUUGUUGAUCAUCUUGGUGAUUGCAACUAUAACAAUGCAAGUACUGAUUCAAUCGUCUGAGUCACAACGUUCACCUCUUGCCAAGAGACCUCUACAAAGAACAGCUUAUGUGUGCAAAGGAGAAAAUAAACAUCUGUUAAAGCCAGUGAUUCACGCAGCCUUGUUCCUUUGCUCAGCUUCAAAUGAUAUCACAUAUGUAUCAAUAUAACCAAAAUUAGUAUUAUGAUUAGUCAUAUAUAUUUUCAACAUACAUAUUACAUGAUUUUUUUAGAUAGAAUAUCAAUCAAUUCAUAGGUUUCAUUUUUUUUAGAGUAUUAUUGAGAGUAUUAUUGUAAUUUUAAAAUCACAUAUUUUAAAAGAUCUUAAUCACAUAUUUUAAAAUUACAGUAAGGGCAAUUUUCUCAAAUAGCUUUUUUUAAGUUUUUGUCACAAAAAUAGAUCUCAAGAAAGAAAAUGACCAAAAUAGCAUCUUUUUAUUUUGAAAAUUUUAAUUUUAUUUUUUUAUUUUUUUUUAAAUUUGAAACUUUAUCUCCAAAACCCCACCCGUUAACUCUAAACCCUAAGUCUAGAUUAGUUAAGCCAAAGGUAAAAAUACAAUUUUAUCCUUUAAUAAAACUUAUUUUUGUCAUUUUCUUCAUUGAGAGCUAUUUUUGUGACAAAAACUUAAAAAUGACUAUCUUAAGAAAUUUCUCUUACAAUAAUAUUCAAUUUUUUUCUUGAGAGUAUUAUUGUAAUUUUAAAAUAUGUGAUUAAGAUCUUUUAAUUUAGACAAAUAUAUUUUGUAAGAUAAAAUAGUAUCUAUAUGCAUACUUUUUCAUAAUAAUCAUUUGCCUUUUUGUUUAUAGCAAUAUCCAAAGUUAACAAAAACCACCGAUUCGAAUAGCCAGACUGGAGGAACACAAUCGACAUACAACAAAGAAGAAUGAGAACUACGAGCACCACGUGUAAGUUUAUCCACUAAUGAAUUUUAUGCUUUCGAUAUUUGUCUGAUCGAGAAAAUAGAUAAAAUUCCUUAUAUCGUUCUAAUUUAUCCAUGUGAUUAGUAAAAGCUGGUCAUUCUUCAGGUGUUAAUACCACUUUCACCAAUUGAAAACAAUCUGUCUCCAAAAUCACCUAUGAGAAUUGUAGGGUAUUCGUACCUCAAUGGCCAAAAUCAAAACAUCACAUUCUGCAUGUAAAGGUGAUAAGUUUUGCCAUAUAUAUAUCGCCACAUCAUAUGAUCAUCCGAGUCUAUGGUUCUGCAAAACCAUCAUUGACUUGUAAAUUGAUCUUGUUCUCUCCAUGCCCCAAAAAUAUAAAAACAUUUGGUAGCCCUAUCAGAUCCCUCAAAGAAAUUGGACAAAUAUCCCCUUGUUCAUUUGACACUAUAAGUUGUGCCUCUAUCCAUAAUGAUCUUUCAGUUUCCAUUGUACAAAAAGAUUUUCUGUGGGUUUCCAUUCUUUUUAUAGAGCUUGUCAUUUAUAUUCUUCCAAAUCUACCACGUAAUCCAUGAAAAAUAAUUGAAGAGUCUCCAAAAAAGAUAAUCAAUGUUGGAAAAAACUCCAAGGUUCGAAAGUAUAUAGGAGAGAGAGCCCAUAUUUGUAAUGCUGGUGCGCAUUAAAAGAUAACAUGAUUGAUUCUUUAUCCGCUCCAAAUAUACUACACCGCUUAUUACAAUUAAUACCAUGUGAUCACAAAUUUUUAGUGACAUAUAAACUGGCCGAUAUUAUUUGCCAAAUAAAAUGCCUAAACUUUGGUGAAUAUUUUAAUUUCCACACAAAGGUCAAUAAAUGUUUGUUUUAAUUAGUCCAUAUAAUUUCAUCCAUGUUCCCUUAUCUGGAUAGAAUUUCUCCGUUUUAUAUCUUGAUUUAACCGUAUACUUACCUGGUACUGUAAAAUGUCAACUAUAAAAAACUAUAAAAAUCUGGUUUAUGGUUAGGACUUAUGGCCAAAAUUUUGAUGAUUUUCAUAACUUUUGGAUGUAUAUAUGCAUUAAGAAACUCCAUAUUCCAAGAGACAUCCACUGGAUUAAUGAGAUGUUCCACCUUUAAUAAGUGGUGUAAAUAUUGAUAUUGAUGUUUUGAUAUUGCUAAUCUCAGGAAUAGAAAUCCAAGGAUUAUUCCACAUUGAGAUAGAUUUCCCUAUACCUUCUCUUAUGAUUAGUUUUUUUAACCAGAGAUUUAGCAGAACAUAUACUUUUUCAACCAAAUGAUGGUGAGUAUGAUCUGUGUUGAUCCAAAUGAUAUGUCUUCCUAAAAAACUUCCUUUAUAAACCCUCGAAACUAAAGAUUUUGGCUUGUUUAUCAAUCUCCAAAAUUGUUUUGUCAAUAAAGUUGUAUUAAAUUCUUGAAAGUCGCGAAAACCCAACUCUCCUUCUUAGACUAUGUACAUUUGUUCAGUUUUUUCAACAUCAUAUUUUUUACUUUUACCAUUUCAUGUCAUUCUCUUUUUCCUUCCACAUCAUUAGUCAAUAUCUAUUUUUAUUUCAUAUUUAAUAUUUUUAUAUUUUGUAACUAAAAAAUAACAGAUAGAAACAUAAAAACUACUAAAAUUAAAUAAUUAUUAAUUUACAUCAAAAUCAUUAGAAUUGAAAUGUUAUGAUAUGUUUUAGGAAAAAAUAUUAAAAAUAUAAACAAAACUUUACUGAAAAUACUUAAAAACUUAUGAUAAUUUUUUUUGUAUAUGUCCAAAUCAUAUAAAACUAGUCUCUAUUUGUAGAUCACAAAAAAUAAAGAAUUCUUGUAGAAAAUAAUAAAAUAAAUAAAUUAAACUAUUGUAGAAUAAAUUACUUAAAACAAUGAAGGUGAAUACAAAAAAAAAAAAUCUUUAUCAUCAAUAAUCAAUAAAAGAGCAAUAGACACUCUUGUGGACCCCAGUUUUGUGGUUCCAACCUAUUGAAAAAAUUCCACACUAAAUAAUACACGUAAAGCAUCCAAUUUUUUCAACAGGUUCAAUGUAAGCCAUUCAACAGUUGAAUUAAAAAUUCAACAGGCCAUUUACGAUGGCCUUAUUAAUGCUCCACCAAAAAUAUGCAAGUACACUUGUUAGUUUUUUGUUAGUGUUUUAGGAAGUCUAGAGCAUGACAUAAUAUGUGUUGGCAUCACUGAUGCUACAUAUUUUAAAGUUACUCAUUUUCCUCUUUUCGUAAGAAACCGAACUGUCAAACUAUUCACUUCAUUAUUUAUCAUUUAAUUUAGAUAACCGCAGAUUUUUUGUUUUUGAUCCACCCAUACUUUCUGGGAUGCUCAAAUAAUUACCCAUACCAUCCAAUGUAGUAAUGCCGAGUUGGUUUUGAAUCACGACUUGUAAGACUUCUGGGACCUUAUGUCCAAAUUGUAUGGAAGAUUUUGUAAAAUUUAUUUGUUGACUUGAUACUGACUUACAGUCUGUAACUACCCCACACUCCUCCAUAGUAGCCAUGCAGAAGAGUAAUUUUUUCAUUCGGAAAUAGUAAACUAGAGAUCUUUGGACUCCCUUUUGCUAUUUUGAGCUUUGUUAAACGUUUUUCAUGUUCUUUUGUUAGAUGGACCAACUUAUUUCUUUAAUAAUUUUAAAAAUCAUCCUGGUGAUGACACGUGAUUACAAAAAAUGUCCUAAUAUUUCACAAAUAAUAUAUAGGGGAUAGGGGAUAUUGCAAAAUAGAGCGGCUGAGACAACCAACCCCUCCGGCUAGAACUCAUCGAUUCCCGAUGUUCUCGACGGUUAUGAAGCCUUUACUAUCUCCGUCACCGUCGCUGUUUCGCCUUCCUCCCCUUUCUUCUUCUCUCUCACUCUUCUUUCGCGUUUUCCCCUUCUCCUCCUCCUCCUCCUCUCACUUUCAUUCCCCUCAUCCGAUUACGCCUCUCCGUUCCUCCCGCCGCAACUAUACUCGCCACCACGCCUCUCUCUCCGACCACUACCUCUCAUGCUCCGUCCCCGAGAAGCCCCUUCGUGUAGCCGUCCUCCUCAGCGGCGGCGUCGAUAGCAGCGUUGCCCUCCGCCUCCUCCACGCCGCUGGACACUCCUGUACCGCUUUCUACCUCA
Molecule: long non-coding RNA, 6560 nt
Filed under: Brassica napus (rape)
Lineage: Eukaryota; Viridiplantae; Streptophyta; Magnoliopsida; Brassicales; Brassicaceae
Description: long non-coding RNA (BNAP_LNC014663)
Source: RNAcentral